Molecule: non-coding RNA, 82 nt
Filed under: Novilysobacter luteus
Lineage: Bacteria; Pseudomonadati; Pseudomonadota; Gammaproteobacteria; Lysobacterales; Lysobacteraceae
Description: Lysobacter sp. CECT 30171 SAH_riboswitch
Rfam family: SAH (S-adenosyl-L-homocysteine) riboswitch aptamer
Source: RNAcentral
CCCGCCGAGGGGCGCUGCGACCGCGACGCUGAAGAGCGCGGCCAGGCUCGGCGGGGUCCACCCAGAACGGCGCCCGGUUGCU